Molecule: non-coding RNA, 202 nt
Filed under: Tropicibacter naphthalenivorans
Lineage: Bacteria; Pseudomonadati; Pseudomonadota; Alphaproteobacteria; Rhodobacterales; Roseobacteraceae
Source: RNAcentral
CUAGCCUGUAGGGGUUAAGGUGUCGCCCCACGGGGCGGAGAAUUGGGAAGCCGGUGAAACUCCGGCACUGCCCCCGCAACGGUAAGGAAACGCGCCGCGCAUCUGGCCACCGAAGACCCCUUUGGGAAGGCGCGCGGCACAAGGGCCCUGUCAGACGGCCCGCGAUCCAAGUCCGGAAACCAGCCUUGGCAUAAAUGUCCAC